UACGUAGGGUGCAAGCGUUGUCCGGAAUUAUUGGGCGUAAAGGGCUCGUAGGCGGUCUGUCACGUCGGGAGUGAAAACUCAGGGCUUAACCCUGAGCCUGCUUCCGAUACGGGCAGACUAGAGGUAUGCAGGGGAGAACGGAAUUCCUGGUGUAGCGGUGAAAUGCGCAGAUAUCAGGAGGAACACCGGUGGCGAAGGCGGUUCUCUGGGCAGUGGCUGACGCUGAAGCGCGACAGCGUGGGGAGCAAACAGG
RNAcentral lists this ribosomal RNA (253 nucleotides) under uncultured bacterium. RNAcentral describes it as "partial 16S ribosomal RNA". It matches the Rfam family "Bacterial small subunit ribosomal RNA", at positions 524 to 776 of the family's 1533-position model. The record is from RNAcentral.